Oryza sativa Japonica Group (Japanese rice) is the source of this 1576-nucleotide long non-coding RNA. RefSeq lists it as uncharacterized. The record is from RefSeq and is a predicted model, not a curated record. Lineage: Eukaryota; Viridiplantae; Streptophyta; Magnoliopsida; Poales; Poaceae.
AUAAAAUACCACUCAAUUAGUCAAUGAUGACGUGUUAACUUACCUUCCCCCAUUAUGUGGGGUUCAACCGCAACAACAGCAAUCCGUUGACCUGAUUGACUCAUAACGCGUAUUGGCCCACUUGUCAAUAUAGGCCCACGGGCUCAGUCAACUGUCCGUUAGAAAGCCCACCUUAAACGUUUAUCUCACGAAGAAUAUAAAGCCCACUACUAGACGGGCUCUGCGCGAUUCAAGCUCAUUUAUGCUAAGUCAGCAACUGAAAGGAAAUGCCCAGCCCACUUCGAUCUCUCCUCCUCCGCCUCGCGCUCUGCGGAAGUGCGAAUCCGCGGCGUUGCUCUUCCUCUUCCUCUUCGAUGCUGCGUGGGCGCCGCGGAUUUCGCCGUGAGCUGGCGGGGCAAACAUGCUUGUGUUUCUGUUGCGUCUCAGGCCUCUACCGGCCACCGCGCCAUGGGAUGUCUGAUGUCUCCGUGAUGUUGCUUGUCGUGGCACGCUUGGCGCGUGCGCGCCAAGUGUUCGACGGAAUGCCGGCCUGCAGUGAUGCCGCUCAGUUACCCUGUCUCCGGUUGCACUAUGCACCCUGUCAACCCUGCCUGCCCGUUGCUGCGGUGAACUACAUCCUAUAAUUGCAUCGCCACUGUCCGCCAUGGUCACAGCUCACAGGCUUGAUUAACCAUCUCUUUCAACUUCUCCAAGCAUGCAACUGUGCUUCUACAGCGCCUGCUGGUUUGGAUUCGAGCAUCUCACUGCUUUAGGACCAAUCGAUCUCUUUCUUUCUUCCUGACAUGACUAUAUCUUUCUGGUUGGUGUGCUGGACUCCAUGCCGUCCACUAUGCCAGCACUGUGCUGUGGGCAUCAGUUAGCUGGUAAUCAUCCCAGCUCCACACUCGUGCUGCUUCGGCACCGCGGCUCCGAUAAAUCUAAUCAUCGGCACUUUCAAGUGGCGAGCAGAAACUUUCUCCAGAGUAUAAAUUGCCCAGCAUUGGGGGAGCUUGAUGAUCUGGACUGGAAUCGCCCUUUUUCUUGUUGUUCUUCAGCACCAGAAUUCAGAACACUCAGUUAUGUGCCAGCCUUGAUGGUUUCUACGGGGAGAAUGCUCCUGAAAAGGAAACAACUCUAUCUACCUUGACUAACUGGUGUUACUGCGUGCAUCCUUGGAGAUCUUCUUCGCAACUAGUGCCCUCAAAGUGGCUGCACAAAGUGGUAGUGACUUGCAAGAACUUUGCAUUUUCCCUGAUAAUGUAAUUGGGCUAGAAGUGGAGCAUUUCCAUCUGUGAGUAAGUCAUUUCAAAAGGCAACGCAGGAAUUCAAAGGAGAUACCGUCUUGGAUUGAAAGUUGAGAAAACGAAAAGGCGGGAUGGGAAUUUCUCAUUGUGGGAUUCUAGAAAUUUUAGACCGGACUAAAUCCUGUCUUCUGCGGGUAAGUGAUCUGUCCAAAUCACAUGAGCUGUCUACAUUAUGUUGCUUCAUGUUCAAACCACAUAGGAUUUUCCAGGACAAAUUUUACUAAUAUGCAGGAAUGCUUUUGUUCUUGGUAGAAUAAUAUCUCAAGAAUGGAUGGGUAGCUAGAUCAAUAUUA